ACGCUGGCGGCACGCCUAACACAUGCAAGUCGAACGAAGUAGCAAUACUUAGUGGCAGACGGGUGAGUAACAUGUAGGUAUCUGCCCUUUGGCCUGGAAUAACACGAGGAAACUUGUGCUAAUACCGGAUAAGUCUUUACGGAGAAAGCUUUAUGCACCAUUGGAUGAGCCUGCACUUGAUUAGUUUGUUGGUGGGGUAAUGGCCUACCAAGACUGUGAUCAAUAGCUGAUUUGAGAGGAUGAUCAGCCACAUUGGGACUGAGACACGGCCCAAACUCCUACGGGAGGCAGCAGUGGGGAAUCUUGCACAAUGGAGGAAACUCUGAUGCAGCGAUGCCGCGUGAGUGAAGAAGGCCUUUGGGUUGUAAAGCUCUUUCGUCGGGGAAGAAAAUGACUGUACCCGAAUAAGAAGGUCCGGCUAACUUCGUGCCAGCAGCCGCGGUAAUACGAAGGGACCUAGCGUAGUUCGGAAUUACUGGGCUUAAAGAGUUCGUAGGUGGUUGAAAAAGUUAGUGGUGAAAUCCCAGAGCUUAACUCUGGAACUGCCAUUAAAACUUUUCAGCUAGAGUAUGAUAGAGGAAAGCAGAAUUUCUAGUGUAGAGGUGAAAUUCGUAGAUAUUAGAAAGAAUACCAAUUGCGAAGGCAGCUUUCUGGAUCAUUACUGACACUGAGGAACGAAAGCAUGGGUAGCGAAGAGGAUUAGAUACCCUCGUAGUCCAUGCCGUAAACGAUGUGUGUUAGACGUUGGAAAUUUAUUUUCAGUGUCGCAGGGAAACCGAUAAACACACCGCCUGGGGAGUACGACCGCAAGGUUAAAACUCAAAUGAAUUGACGGGGACCCGCACAAGUAGUGGAGCAUGUGGUUUAAUUCGAAGAUACGCGCAGAACCUUACCAACACUUGACAUGUUCGUCGCAACUCUAAGAGAUUAGAGUUUUCGGUUCGGCCGGACGAAACACAGGUGCUGCAUGGCUGUCGUCAGCUCGUGUCGUGAGAUGUUGGGUUAAGUCCCGCAACGAGCGCAACCCUCACUUUUAGUUGCCAUCAUUAAGUUGGGCACUCUAAAAGAACUGCCAGUGAUAAGCUGGAGGAAGGUGGGGAUGACGUCAAGUCCUCAUGGCCCUUACGUGUUGGGCUACACACGUGCUACAAUGGUAUCUACAACAGGAAGCAAGACGGCGACGUCAAGCAAAUCCCUAAAAGAUACCUCAGUUCGGAUUGCACUCUGCAACUCGAGUGCAUGAAGCUGGAAUUACUAGUAAUCGUGGAUCAGCGUGCCACGGUGAAUGCGUUCCCGGGUCUUGUACACACCGCC
RNAcentral lists this ribosomal RNA (1314 nucleotides) under uncultured Alphaproteobacteria bacterium. RNAcentral's name for it is "uncultured alpha proteobacterium 16S ribosomal RNA". It matches the Rfam family "Bacterial small subunit ribosomal RNA", at positions 33 to 1394 of the family's 1533-position model. The record is from RNAcentral. Lineage: Bacteria; Pseudomonadati; Pseudomonadota; Alphaproteobacteria.